RNAcentral lists this long non-coding RNA (4689 nucleotides) under Marmota monax (woodchuck). The record is from RNAcentral. Lineage: Eukaryota; Metazoa; Chordata; Mammalia; Rodentia; Sciuridae.
GCAUUAUCCUUGGGACUUUCCCUGGGUCAGGGCCUUCAGACUCAGAAGCCCCAAACCUUGUGAAGUAAUCUGUAGGGACAAUACUACUUUUUGGUCCCCAGUAUCCCCAGCCAGAUGGCUUUGCCACCAGUACAGCUCAGUGUCCUCAUGGAGUAAGGUGGAUGUGGGCUCAGGAUUCCUGGAUACUGGGGUGACCCUAGGCCAGGAAUUCAACCUCUGUAAGACUCUGUUUCCUUAGUUCUAAAAAAGAUAAUCACAUCUUUCUCAUAAAGUUGCAGCAAGACAGAACUAACACAGAGAAAGUACCUUGAAAUGACAGGAUUGUUCUCCCUUAUCUCCUAAGCCUAACUGAAUUCAGAGGUCACACACACAAGCCCAGGACUUUUCUGACCUCCUCCUGCCUUCCAUCUUCAGGACUGCUCUGCUGGGGAGGUCCUGAAACGACCCUGGAAGAACUCCUCCCCUGCCCACCACCCUCCUUCCCCAGGGAGCAGAAAUACCUAGUUUCAGCCCUAAUAAUACCUGAAUGAGAUUUAUAGGACACCUUCGUCCCCAGAGUUCUCACAUACUAUUUCUCUUAUCUUUAGAUUGUCCUGUGAAGUAAAGUGAUGGUACAGCCUCUUUUCAGUUUUUAUGGAAAUGGAAACAGAGAGGAAUGGUGACUCUUGCCAAGGUCGCAGGAUUGGAAUAUGGAGCCAAACUGCCUCAGGUCAUAGAAGAUCAUCAGAAGGAGAAAAUCUGAGCAGGAAGAGAAGAGUCAGCUACCUCCUGAGGCUGUAAAAGUUGGAGGCAAGAAUGGAGGAAUCCCAGGCAAUCCUGCUUGUCUGGGACUUGGCAAGAGACCUGGGGAAUAUGACCCAACCCUUUUGUGGGGUCUUUGCUUUUGACCUAUUGGCCUAGUAUGUCCUCUACCAUUUCUGCCCUUAUCACAUCCUAUCAGGCCUGUUCACCCUGAAACAUUCUGGCCAGGCCUCUGGCAAAUGAAAGCUCUAUACCAUCUGCAUUUUCACCCCAAAGGACUGGAGGCAGUGUGCUCAGAAGUUGCCAAAGCAGAGGCUCCAGCCUUCUAAGAGUUAAUGACUCCUUCUCCCCAGCUGUCCUCCCUUUGGUGCUCCUCUUCCUCCCUCCUGCUCACAGCAGGCUCGGCCUGGACCCAGGAGCCAUGCUGCUGUGCUGUUGCCAGGGGAGCCCAGAGGCAGAUCUGAGCUAUGCAGGGAAAAGGCCCAGCCUGUCAAAGUGUCUGAGAUGAACCGCCGCUGUCCCUGUGCAGCUGGGCUCAGACUUGUCUCGGCUCUUGUCUGUGCCUGAGAAUGGCGAAGCCCAGUGAGGUUCAAGGGCAAACUCGCUAUUCAUUAGUCAGGGGUUCUUGACGUCCUGUCUCUCCAGGGAUGGGUUCCCCCCUUCCUCUCUCUCUCCCUCCUCUGAUACAUUCCUAGGUGCCUUUGGAGAGGACUACACACCCUCCUCUUGCCCAACCCCCUCUCCAUAGGCCCCUGAAUAAACUCCCCUCAAGGAGACCAGGCAGGAUAGAGACAAUGGCUUCAGGAAAUCAUUCAGGCGAGACCCCAGCCACUCUGGCCUGCCUUCCACUUCCACAGGCCCUGUAGGCACACUCUGCUGUGACUCCGGCCACUCUGGGCCACCAGCCUGCAUAGGCCUGGAUGGGAAGAGACUACUGGGCACUGCCCUAAGGACAACAUUCAGUGCAAUGCCAUUCUCACUGGGCUCCAGGUAUACAUUUAUCUCCCUGGCUGGGUGCUAUAUUUCUGUAACAUUGUGUGUCUAUUUAAAGACACUCUUCAAUACUGUUUUUAGGAAGUGUAUUUUCUAAAAUGUAGCAGUAUCAAAAAAUAAAAGGCAGUGGUGCAGGCCUGUAAUUCCAGCAACUCAGGAAGCUGAGUCAGGAAGAUUGCAAGUUCAAGGCCAGCAUCAGCAACUUCAGAAGACCCCAUCUCAAAAAAUUAAAAAGGGGGCUUUCAUGCACAAGGCCCUGGGUUCAAUCCCCAGCACCAAAAAAAAAAAAUAAUAAUAAUAAUAAUUAAAAGGGCUGGGGGUGUAUCUCAGCACUCCUGGAUCUAAUCUUCAGUACUGGGGAAAAAAAUAUAAAAGGCACAUAUACUUGAACACAAAUAUAUUGCACUAUUAGGAAUUUACCUUAUGGGUAUAUUUGUAAAACUUCCCAAAGAGGUAUGUACAAGGGUGUUCAUGGGAUCAUUUCUUCUUUACAGUGUAAAGAAAUAGAAAUAACCAAUGGGUCCUUUCAUACAGUGGAGUACUAUGCAGUUGUAAAAGUCCAUGUGGUAAGAUCUCUAUCGACAGGCCCAUAUGGAAUGUUGGCUAGUAUAUAUUAUAGGGUAAAUAGAAUAAACUGCAGAAUAGGCAAUAGAGUAUGAUCUUAUUUGUGUACAUUUAAAAAUCAGAGGCCAGCCGGGUGUGGUGGUGCACACCUGUAAUUCUAGCAGCUCAGGAGGCUGAGGCAGGGGGAUCGAGAAUUCAAAGCCAGCCUCAGCAACUUAGUGAGGCCCUAAGCAACUCAGUAAGACUCUGUCUCUAAACAAAAUACAAAAAUAGGUUGGGGAUGUGGCUCAGUGGAUAAGUGACCCUGGGUCCAACCCAGUACCAAAAAAAAAAAAAAAAAACCAGGCCAAGCGCAGUGGUGCUUGCCUAUAAAUUCUAGAAACUCCAGAGGUUGAGGCAGGAGGAUUAAUAGUUGGAGGCCAGCCUUAGCAAUUUAGUCAGGCUCUAAGCAACUUAUUGAGACCCUGUCUAAAAAUAAAAAGAUCUGGGGAUGAAGCUCUCAAUGAUAAAGCACCCUUGGGUUUAAUCCCAAUAAUAAUAAUAAUAAAUAAACCCUACAAAAAACAAAAACAAAUCAUAAAUAUGCUUAUAUAUGAGUGGUUUCUGAUAAUAUGUAUUAGAUAACCACCUCUGGGAAGUGGGGAUACAGGGAUGCAUUCUUCUGUACAAUAAUAUUUUCUUUUCAUGUUUGUAAAAUACUUUUCUUGAAAAAUAUAGGGACUAUUUAAUAGGCUUAACUUCUAUCAACAAACUUGGAAUAGGAACUUAAGAUGAUAGUGGUGAUGUUGCAGGAAAAAAUAUUCCAGAAUCACUGGCAACAUUAGCUACUAUACUUUUCUGAGCCUAAUGAUCACAUCAGCAUGGCUCUAUUAAUCAUAAAAUCUAGUAAGUGCCAGGGUGUUUCUCUUGGUCUUGUUUAGGUGUGGGUAUCAUGUUUUCAAUUCACCCCGUGGGAAAGGUUGGUUGAUUUGCCCAAAAUCCUGGGCAGGUAGGGGUAGGAGUCAGGAAUCUGAUGGGGGCUCAGGAAGGGUGGUGUAGGCUCUCAGCCAUUGCCCCUCCAUCCUCAGGAGACUGACCCCUGGGGUGCCACCCCAGGGUGGCACCACAUGGACCUCAGUGAGUGGAAGAUGUCUCCAUCCUACUGCAGCCCAAAGGAGGACAGACCAACUGGGGCUGGCAGCAAAUGGAUGGGAUUCUGAAAGGUACCAUUUGCAAAAAGAGCAUGUGUCCUGAGAGAAAAAGCACCCUUUGUAUUGCCCACCCCAGCAUCAAUCACCCCUGCUUCACUUCCCCUCCCCCAGCCAAAGAGUAAAUUGCCGGGAAAGUGUUGCCUGUGACAGGGCACAGGAGUUCCCAAAGCCAGAAACGUUGGUGUCCUGCCACAGGUCGGGACACAGCAGCUCACAUAGCACUCUUCACUGGGCCCUGGAUAGCCGGGAGGAGGUGCUGGGGAGGUGCAGUCCUAGAGGGGCUUGGGAAACCCAUGGGAGUCUAGGUAGUCCCAGAUCAGCUGCCAGCAAGCAGAGUGAGGAGAAAGGAAAUAUUAAGAGCAACUGCUGUGGGCUAGGUUGUCAGGUGCCAGGUCACUGUGCUUUGGCCCAAUGAGUUCUCUUUAAUUUUAUGGGCUGUGGGUGCCAUUAGUACAUUCAUUUUACAGAUGAAGACACUGAGGAUCAGAAAAGUUAUGGUCCUUAGUCACACAGCUAAAAAUUGCCAGAAAUGAGAUUCAAAAUCAAGACUAAAUGACUCUAAACUAUACUCCUAACCCCAAAGAAAUCCUGUCACUUAAAAAAGGUCCCCAAAGCUGUACUUUCUCCUGGCCAGUAUCCACUUGAAAAGACAUCAACCUUUGCCUGCAAGGCCACCUCAAAUACUCCCUUGCCUGGGGUCUUCCUCAAUUCCACCUAAUGCCAUCUCUCUUCUUGGGGUGUGCUAAGCCUUGGAGACUGGGCACUGGGGCGGAUUCCAGACCCUCAUUCAGAUUGGGGCUGUUGGUUAAUAUUGCUCUUAAGUGCUGCUGCUGCCCAGUCUCCUGGCUCCUGGUCUUCUAUACUCCCGUAGACUUUGCUUCUUCCUUGAGGUCCUUGACCUAAAGGAGCCUCUUAGGAAGGUGAGGAGGCUCCCAGGAUGGCCCCACUGCUUCUCAGAGGCUAGUCCAAUGAUAAGAGGGAGUGGGGGGGUGGGUCUUGAGAAGCUGAUACUGGAAAGCAGAGAUGGUCCCCAUGUGCUUGAGUUUCUAGGACUCUUACAAGACCAUUGGGUCCAUCUGAAUUGUCCUGAGAGAGCACUAGGGCAAAUUAUGGGAAAGAAGCCUCUUCCUGUCCUGUGAACCCUCUGGCUUUCUUGCACCAGUCCAUGGAGAAUAAAGUUUCUUUGCAAAGCCUCCCAUGU